Molecule: ribosomal RNA, 468 nt
Filed under: uncultured bacterium
Lineage: Bacteria
Description: bacterial SSU rRNA
Rfam family: Bacterial small subunit ribosomal RNA
Source: RNAcentral
GGGCCCGCACAAGCGGAGGAACAUGUGGUUUAAUUCGAUGAUACGCGAGGAACCUUACCCGGGCUUGAACUGGAACAGACGAAUUUGGAGACAGAUUUUCUUAGCAAUAAGAUGUUUCAGAGGUGCUGCAUGGUUGUCGUCAGCUCGUGCCGUGAGGUGUCGGCUUAAGUGCCAUAACGAGCGCAACCCUUGCUGUCAGUUGCCAUCAGGUAAAGCUGGGCACUCUGGCGGGACUGCCAUCGUAAGAUGUGAGGAAGGUGGGGAUGACGUCAAAUCAGCACGGCCCUUAUGUCCGGGGCUACACACGUGUUACAAUGGGGGGUACAGCAGGCAGCUACCGCGCGAGCGGAUGCCAAUCCUUUAAACCCCUUCUCAGUUCGGAUUGAAGUCUGAAACCCGACUUCAUGAAGCUGGAUUCGCUAGUAAUCGCGCAUCAGCCAUGGCGCGGUGAAUACGUUCCCGGGCCUU